GAGAUCCUGAAUGAACUUCAAGGGAA
RNAcentral lists this non-coding RNA (26 nucleotides) under Rattus norvegicus (Norway rat). Lineage: Eukaryota; Metazoa; Chordata; Mammalia; Rodentia; Muridae. The record is from RNAcentral.